Molecule: ribosomal RNA, 307 nt
Filed under: uncultured bacterium
Lineage: Bacteria
Description: partial 16S ribosomal RNA
Rfam family: Bacterial small subunit ribosomal RNA
Source: RNAcentral
AGACAGCAGUAGCCGCGGGAAUACAGAGGAUGCAAGCGUUAUCCGGAAUGAUUGGGCGUAAAGCGUCUGUAGGUGGCUUUUCAAGUCCGCCGUCAAAUCCCAGGGCUCAACCCUGGACAGGCGGUGGAAACUACCAAGCUGGAGUACGGUAGGGGCAGAGGGAAUUUCCAGAGGAGCGGUGAAAUGCGUUGAGAUCGAAAAGAACACCAACAGCGAAAGCACUCUGCUGGGACGACACUGACACUAAGAGACGAAAGCUAGGGGAGCAAAUGGGAUUAGAGACCCCAGUAGUCCCUGUCUCUUAUAA